Molecule: ribosomal RNA, 525 nt
Filed under: uncultured bacterium
Lineage: Bacteria
Description: partial 16S ribosomal RNA
Rfam family: Bacterial small subunit ribosomal RNA
Source: RNAcentral
GACGAACGCUGGCGGCGUGCCUAAUACAUGCAAGUCGAGCGCAGGAAACCGUUCCGAACCCUUCGGGGGGACGACGGUGGAAUGAGCGGCGGACGGGUGAGUAACACGUAAAGAACCUGCCCAUAGGUCUGGGAUAACCACGAGAAAUCGGGGCUAAUACCGGAUGUGUCAUCGGACCGCAUGGUCCGCUGAUGAAAGGCGCUCCGGCGUCGCCCAUGGAUGGCUUUGCGGUGCAUUAGCUAGUUGGUGGGGUAACGGCCCACCAAGGCGACGAUGCAUAGCCGACCUGAGAGGGCGAUCGGCCACACUGGGACUGAGACACGGCCCAGACUCCUACGGGAGGCAGCAGUAGGGAAUCUUCCACAAUGGACGAAAGUCUGAUGGAGCAACGCCGCGUGAACGAUGAAGGCUUUCGGGUCGUAAAGUUCUGUUGUAAGGGAAGAACAAGUGCCGCAGGCAAUGGCGGCACCUUGACGGUACCUUGCGAGAAAGCCACGGCUAACUACGUGCCAGCCGCCGCCGUAA